AGCUUCGCGCAGUGGCAGUAUCAUAGCCAAUGAAGUUUAUCCAAGGUGCGAUUAUUGCUAAUUGAAAACUUUUCCCAAUACCCCGCCAUGACGACUUGAAAUAUAGUCAGCAUUGGCAAUUUUUGACAGUCUCUAUGGAGA
RNAcentral lists this small nuclear RNA (141 nucleotides) under Saimiri boliviensis boliviensis (Bolivian squirrel monkey). RNAcentral's name for it is "U4 spliceosomal RNA (ENSSBOG00000015547.1)". It matches the Rfam family "U4 spliceosomal RNA". Rfam says of the family: U4 small nuclear RNA (U4 snRNA) is a component of the major U2-dependent spliceosome. The structure of U4 snRNA from yeast and human has been reported. The record is from Rfam by way of RNAcentral. Lineage: Eukaryota; Metazoa; Chordata; Mammalia; Primates; Cebidae.